AGCUCUGGAUCCUCACACCAUCUCGCCUGAUUAUGACACGUUACAUGACGUUGACACUCAUAUUGAAGACAACACUUACACGUCUUUCGAACCCAUGACCAUGUGCUCCAAAGAUGUGUGCUUCACGCUCGCGAAACCUCACCCCAAUGACACGUACGAAGCUCUGGAUCCUCACACCAUCUCGCCUGAUUAUGACACGUUACAUGACGUUGACACUCAUAUUGAAGACAACACUUACACGUCUU
Molecule: long non-coding RNA, 245 nt
Organism: Silurus meridionalis
Lineage: Eukaryota; Metazoa; Chordata; Actinopteri; Siluriformes; Siluridae
Exons: 4
Source: RefSeq, a predicted model, not a curated record